UACGUAGGGGGCAAGCGUUGUCCGGAUUUAUUGGGCGUAAAGAGCGUGUAGGCGGCUGGAUAGGUCCGUUGUGAAAACUCGAGGCUCAACCUCGAGACGCCGAUGGAAACCAUCCAGCUAGAGUCCGGAAGAGGAGAGUGGAAUUCCCGGUGUAGCGGUGAAAUGCGCAGAUAUCGGGAAGAACACCCGUGGCUAAGGCGGCUCUCUAGUACGGUACUGACGCUGAGACGCGAAAGCGUGGGGAGCGAACAGG
RNAcentral lists this ribosomal RNA (253 nucleotides) under uncultured bacterium. RNAcentral's name for it is "partial 16S ribosomal RNA". It matches the Rfam family "Bacterial small subunit ribosomal RNA", at positions 524 to 776 of the family's 1533-position model. The record is from RNAcentral.